RNAcentral lists this non-coding RNA (137 nucleotides) under Pan troglodytes (chimpanzee). The record is from RNAcentral. RNAcentral also lists the same sequence under 1 other name. Lineage: Eukaryota; Metazoa; Chordata; Mammalia; Primates; Hominidae.
GCACCAGGCAUCAGAGAUAGAGUCUUCCCUGGCAUUGCAGGAGAGAAUCUGAAGGGAUGAUGGAUGCAUCAAAAGGAGGUCAGGACAUCCAAAUAGGGACCUGGAAGAUGGUGAUAUGUGUGGGAUAAAGGUAGGAU